CCCUUAGAUGUCCUGGGCCGCACGCGCGUUACACUGACGCAUUCAACGAGCUUAUAACCUUGGCCGAGAGGCCUGGGCAAUCUUGUUAACGUGCAUCGUGAUAGGGAUAGAUUAUUGAAAUUAUUAAUCUUGAACGAGGAAUUCCUAGUAAACGCAGAUCAUCAAUCUGCAUUGAUUACGUCCCUGCCCUUUGUACACACCGCCCGUCGCACCUACCGAUUGGAUGGUCCGGUGAAGCCUCGGGAUUGUGGUUCUUGCCGCUUUAUUGUGGCGUGACCGCGAGAACUUGUCUAAACCUUAUCAUCUAGAGGAAGGUGAAGUCGUAACA
This 328-nucleotide ribosomal RNA is filed under the name uncultured eukaryote. Its description in RNAcentral is "partial 18S ribosomal RNA". It matches the Rfam family "Eukaryotic small subunit ribosomal RNA", at positions 1470 to 1796 of the family's 1831-position model. The record is from RNAcentral.